Molecule: long non-coding RNA, 1970 nt
Organism: Thunnus maccoyii (southern bluefin tuna)
Lineage: Eukaryota; Metazoa; Chordata; Actinopteri; Scombriformes; Scombridae
Exons: 4
Source: RefSeq, a predicted model, not a curated record
GAACUUUAAAAAUGAACAAACAUUGCAGCUUUGAAACAUAUCACACAAUCUUCCUCAGCAGAAGAAGUUUUCCUAGUUGUCAUUGAAAUGUAGACAUUUCCAUUGUUUUCUAAGCCCAUUAAGGACUUUGUGUCCAUUUUGGCUUAAAAGUUAAGACUGAAAGUUCAGUCUUGACCAUUUGUCAUGCUUUCAUUUUUGUCAACAGCUGUUUCCAUGGUCAAGAAUGCUUUCAUUCUCAACAUAUUGGACCUUGUUGCAGUGGUGGAAGAAGUAUUCAGAUCCUCUACCAGGCACACUAAUGAGGCUGAUGCAACAGUGUCAGUGCAGCCAGGGUUGACAUGUGUAAGGACGAUGAGCGUGAGGAGAGAGCCGAGAUCUGCAAGAAAAAGGACGCAGGAGGGUUUUGGUGCAGUGUGUGUGAAGUGAAUGCAGAGAUGACAGAGAAAAAGAACCUCUCUCUCUUGUUCCCUUCCUUCAUCACCACCUCCCGGACAGCUUAACUAUCAGUGUAUCCUCCUCUGCCUGUCUGUUUACGGCCAUCAAACACCAUCACAAAGCUUUAAAUCACAGAUGUGCUGGAAGAGAUAGUUGCUGGCAACAAGGACAUUGAUUGUGCAGCCUGACAGGGUAGCACCAUAUCCUCCACAAACACCCUCCAUCCAUUAAACCUCAGCUACACAUUUACACUGAAAUCAAGAGGAAGAUCAACCUCUGCAGGCUUCUGGGCCUUUGUUUUAGAGAAAGAGCCAUGUAUCUACACAGAAGUCUCCCUCGAUGAAAACAGCUAAUCUCCACAAAAGAUAAGUCAAUGCAAGUGAGAGAAUCCUUUAGGGUUUUGUUUUCCACUUCAGCAUCUGAGAUGGAUCGGGCUACUUUCAAUCUGCAUCAUUUAACAUAAUGUGCCUAUGGGAUGAACCCAUUUGCCUCCAUCAACUCCCUUAUAUUUCACUUAAAACAAGCAUGAACUUACCUCUCAUUUAUUCUGUUUUUCAAAUACAUAUUCUAUGUUCAAAUAGUAAUUAAUACAUUGCAAGCCUUUAUCAUUGGUUUUUCCUUGCAGACAGCUUCAAGCUUGAGAGAGAAGAGAGAGAAAGAGUUGGAAGGUGCCUCCUUUUACCCUCCAAGUCAAAGUCUUUGGCCGCUGAAGCAUGUUCUGAGCAGAUAAGAGGGCCAGUUCCUCUCUCACGAGAAAUGGAUUUUCAUUCUUCAACCCCACUCUCCAUCUUGAGCAGUUGGAUAUUUCUCUUUGUUGCCCGUUAGUAUGGCACACUGUAAAACUGCCUCUCGCUCAAAAUCAGCUACAUCACAGCCUCAUGUAGAAACUCUGCUUGCCCCCAGAAAUGAAAUCAAUCACCUGAGGGUAGAACUUGACCCGUGUCAAGAAAAAAUGGGGUUUACACAAUCAAUGGAAGGUCUAGAAAUGGUGCAAAAAAUGCAUGAGAAGUAUAAUGCAUAGAUCAGUAUGUGCUAUAUCAUUCAAUGAUUACUUGAAAUGUUUAUAUCAGCAUUCAAUAAGGACAUUCACAUAAACUGGCGAAACCCCCAAACAAUAAAGAUUGCACUGUAUGCUUCCCUUGGCUCCUUCAUAGCACAUUUCAGUCACAUAAGUCAGAUAUAUUGAGCGUGUAUUUCCUCUGCAGACUAACACUGAUAUUUAAGAGACCUUCAGUGAUUUGUUCUGGGUUGGUUUGAGGUUAAUGAAAUGAGUUAUGGGUGAUGAUCCCCACGCUUCCAGAUCAAUGUACGCUGCUAUUUGUUGACUACAUAAUCAAGCAUCAUAGUCACCAUCAUUAUCACUGCCAGUAUUAUCACCACAGGCUGGUAAUGCCAACUAAAAGUAUCCAAAAAAUCCUAUGUAUCAUGCAUAACAAGUUACAUUAGCAAUCCAUUUCAAAAGGCUUGUUUUUUCCUAUGGCGGUCACCCUCAGGGUUUGUUACACUGUAUGAGAAUAAACAGCUCCCGUACUUUG